Molecule: unclassified non-coding RNA, 299 nt
Filed under: Hevea brasiliensis (rubber tree)
Lineage: Eukaryota; Viridiplantae; Streptophyta; Magnoliopsida; Malpighiales; Euphorbiaceae
Source: RNAcentral
UUGAUAUGUUAUUCCAUAAUUUUUGUGGUACAGAAGUGGAGUUUAGCUGAACUACUAUCUCAUUUUAAUAGGGUAGAGCUGCUGUCAUGUUCAGCCCAGCCACGUUCAGAGUAUAUGAAGUUUUGUGAAAUUUUAUUAGUUGUUAGUAAAAUUGAUUUGGUCAAAAUACAAUAUAUUCUAAAUGAUGUACAAAAUUAGCAGUCAUAUUUGACAAUGUUAUAUUAUUUUAGAAAACACAUAUUCAUCAUUGACAAAAAAAUAAAAUAUUAAUAAUAUAAUUAAAUUACACAAGAAGAAAA